Mya arenaria is the source of this 6151-nucleotide RNA transcript. RefSeq lists it as uncharacterized. NCBI's taxonomy places the organism in Eukaryota, Metazoa, Mollusca, Bivalvia, Myida, Myidae. The transcript is spliced from 8 exons. The record is from RefSeq and is a predicted model, not a curated record.
CUUUACAUAGUGAUUUAGUGAUUGUGGGCGGCAGUUUAAAUAGUUUCUGCUGAUAUUGGGAGUUUGAAGUUUGAAAAAACUGUUAUAUAUCAAUGAAGUGGAAGUUGUUGAUUACUUCUGCUUAUUGAGCAAUACAACCGGGAGUCAUCUACGCUACGAGCUUGUGAAAAUUUGAGGAAAAAGAUGGAGGAGCGGGAUGUGGACCAGCUUAUCCGAGAGAAGGAUUCAGACUGAUGGACAACUCACCUAUUGGGGACUUGACCCAGCAGCUCUUCUUCCCCCAUCAUGCCAAGCAGACUGGUCCAACAUUUUUCAAAACUCCGGAGAAAUGUGCUGCCUGGAAAUUGGCUGCCUUCGGAGAAUUUGCAUAAGGCUCAGGACAGCAGGUGUUUUAUUUGUUGGAUGUGACAGAGGUGCCAGGGAAGGGAGCAUAGACAGUUGUGAGCUUGGACAACAUAUGCGGAUUGAGAUAUCUAGGAUAACCAUUGGGAGCUCCUUGGCCAUUUUCCAUCGAAAACAACCUCAGAUGUUUAUGGAUGGUUUACAAGAUGUACUGGCCGAACUACUUCUACAGAUGUACUGGCCGAACUACUUCUACAGAUGUACUGGCAAAACUACUUCUACAGAUGUACUGGCUGAACUACUUCUACAGAUGUACUGGCUGAACUACUUCUACAGAUGUACUGGCUGAACUACUUCUACAGAUGUACUGGCUGAACUACUUCUACAGAUGUACUGGCUGAACUACUUCUACAGAUGUACUGGCUGAACUACUUCUACAGAUGUACUGGCCGAACUACUUCUACAGAUGUACUGGCCGAACUACUUCUACAGAUGUACUGGCCAAACUACUUCUACAGAUGUACUGGCCAAACUACUUCUACAGAUGUACUGGCAGAACUACUUCUACAGAUGUACUGGCCGAACUACUUCUACAGAUGUACUGGCCGAACUACUUCUACAGAUGUACUGGCCAAACUACUUCUACAGAUGUACUGGCCGAACUACUUCUACAGAUGUACUGGCUGAACUACUUCUACAGAUGUACUGGCUGAACUACUUCUACAGAUGUACUGGCUGAACUACUUCUACAGAUGUACUGGCCGAACUACUUCUACAAAUGUACUGGCAAACAUCAAGGUUUAUCAUUUUCGAUUGAAAAUGGCCGAGAAGUUCCAAAUGCAAGCAGGAUCUACCCUGGGGCACUUCAGUCCAUUAUGGAAAAUCAAAUGCUGAGAUGAUAGAAGAAGCAGCUGCGACUGUGACCAGCUCAUCAAGGAGUGACCAACUUGUAGCUGAUGCCUGAAAACCAGUCCAGCUCUUCCAUUGGAAACACUACCUACCACUGUUUUUCUAGCUAUUGAAAAACAUCUCGAAGUAACACCAUUUUGUACUUGAAGCAGAUGGACCCAGAUUUGUGCAGUGCAGAGAGAUCGCUGAAUCAGAUGCUGCGGAGUACAACUACUUGACUAUGCUUCGUUGCUGAAAAUUGGAGGAGUUGUCUCACCUGAACUCCCAUGCGUAUCUGCACCUAGGGCAUGGAUCUUGAACAACAGUGAUAUUCACAUGAGAAGAUAAGGAAAUACUUCAGAAUUGACAUUAAUAAAGACAAAGCUUACCCUGGACCAUCUCAACCAAAGCAAUGAACACAUUGUAACCUUUUUCUUCUACAAUUUCUUUUGAUAUGUCUGUCAUACAACUGAUGUAUGGUAGGGUGAAAUAUGUUUUCAACUAUAAUAUAUGUUCUCUAUUGAAGGUUGUUUAUUGUAAUCAACAAUUGACAUUCAUUGUAUUAUUCGCCUGUGAACUUUUACAAAAUUCCCUUGAUAGCUUUACUUUAAAGAUGCUCUCUUACUCCCAAAUAAGAUGUACCACAAUUAAUACAAAUGUUUUUCUAUACCAGUGGUAACCAUAAAGGACAAAAACAUGUCAAAAACAAAAUUUCUUUUUGAAGGAUACACAGUUAAAGUUUUUGGAAAUGUAGAAAACACGAUUUAUACAUUAUGAUUGGAUAGUAGAUCACAAUCUUUUAGCACCCACCAGUAAUUUAAUAUUUUUCCUUUAUAAGCUAUUAAUACAUGGUUAUAAUUAUGUUAUUAGUAAUUUAUAUCUUCCAUAUAUAUGCAUUAUGUAGUAUAAAGUAGAAGUUUAAUUACUAAUAAUUGCAUAUGUUAUUCAUGUGUUUAAAUUGAAUUUUAAUAAGAUUGUCACUUUAAAGGGACUGUACACCAGAUUGGCACUAAAAAAAGUUUUUUUCUGUAACAAAUCUCAGGACAAUUAUUUAAUAAAGUGUUUUACUCUUUGAUAUCAUAAUUGUAUUUUUCUUUAUCAAAAUGCAGUCCAGUGUUGUAUCCACUGUGCUACGAAGACUUACCCUAAUGAUUGGAAUAUUUUAGCUGUAUACCUAAUUUGGUAAUAUCACAUGAUGACAUCGACUAGCCAAUCAUGCAUAAGGAAUGAAUUCUACUAGGUAGACAUACCCUAUAAUCUUUUUUAAUGGAAAAAUACUAAAAAACUGCGAAAAAUAAAUUAUUUGUAAACUAUGAGGUACUUCAAUUAGUAAGUUUUAAUGCAUUGUUCACAUCGAUAACAAGUUUAAGUCCGGUUUUGACAAUUUUCAUUUUUUUUUCGCAAUUUCAUCAUUAUGGAGUACAGCCCCUUUAAACUUAUUUUUGUUAACUUUUAAUGUCUGCCUGAAUCAUCAAUUUGAAGUCAAAUGUUUGAUCUGGUUUAUAAGAAGGCUGAACUGCAAUGUCAAAACAAAACAUGAACUAUAUAUUUAGAUGUAUAUUUAGUUUUAUCAUGAUAAUAUUUCAGUUUGUUUUCUUUAUCAUAAUUAUUACUUACUAUAAUUUUGUAUCUUGGUAAAAUAGGUAUGUAAGAAAAGAACACAGUUUAUUAUAAGCUUUCCUGUAGUUGAUAGAGGUUUAUCAGUGAAAUAAAUACAUAAAAUAAAUACCAGAAUAAAACUGUUAAUUGUAUCAGGGUUCCCACGGUCAGGAAAAAGUAAAUUGGGAAAGGUUUUUUUUUCAAGGUCAGGGUCAUGUCAUGGAAUUUUGAAAUUGGUCAGGGAAAAAAGAUUUUUUGGCAAAAGUAGGGAAUUUUAUAAUGAAGGGGCAUUGGUCGUACAACUACUCUCAUUUAUUGACCGAUAAGGCAGUUUCUUCCAUUUUGUAUUAUUGUUGUCAUUAUAAAUAUAUACGCACAUUUUGUACCUUAUUAAUCAAUAGCUUUAUAUUGCUGUAUAUGCUUGUGUAAAAGUACUUGUGGUAUUAGCUCAUGCACUUUAUUUUUAUAUCACAGGAUGUUUUUUUUAAUUUGUGAGCAGUUUCUAUGCAUAUAACACUUAAAUGCUAAUAUUAGAGCAUUGUUAUGUCAUGUAUGAGCUUGAUUUGUAUGUUUAUGAUUCUCCUAAUUCAUUCCUAAGUAUUAAUAUCAGUAUUUAAUAGCUUUUACUGAAAUGACCAUUUAAGGAGAAUUUCUAUGAUUAUUAUUUGUACAAGUUUUGUGUCGAAUCCAUUUAAAAAUCAUACAGGGAAAAAAAUACAAUGAAGGGCAGGGGAUUUGUUUUCUUAUUUGAUUGUCUUGUUUUAUACUACCAGUAGAUACAAAAACAUUUCAUUGGCUAGAUUUUUAUACAAUACUUAUUGAAACUGUGAUAUUUUUUUAGAUAAUACUUAGGAUGAAGAGGGAGAUUACAAAAAAGAAAGAAAAAAAAAGAAUAAACAUAAAAUUUAUUGAAAUAGUACAAGGAGGUAAGGGUUGGCUAUGGGGAAGGAAGGAGGCCAAUAUCUUAAGUACAUUUCAUGCUCAUAUAUGACCUGUAUGUGUGGUUUUUAGCAUGUGAAUUGGUCAGGGAAAAUUGAAUUUAGUCAGGGAAAAGUCAGGGAAUUUUGAAAUUGGUCAGGGAAAAAAGAUUUUUGGCAAAAGUCAGGGAAUUUUAUGAUGAAGGGGCAUUGGUCGAACAACUACUCUCAUUUAGUGACAAAAGGCUAAGGCAGUUUCUUCCAUUUUUUAUGAAUGUUCAUUAUUAAAAUAUACACACAUUUUGUACCUUAUUAAUCAAUAGCUUUAUAUUGCUGUAUAUGCUUGUGUAAAAGUUCUUUUGGUAUUAGCUCAUGCACUUUAUUUUAUAUCACAGGGUGUUUUUAAAUUUGUGAGCAGUUUCUAUGCAUAUAACACUUAACUGCUAAUAUAAGAGCAUUGUAAUGUCAUGUAUGAGCUAGAUUUGUAUGUUUAUGAUUCUCUUAAUUCAUUCCUAAGUAUUAGUAUCAGUAUUUAAUAGCUUUUACUGAAAUGACCUUUAAGGAGAAUUUCUAUGAUUAUUAUUUGUACAAGUUUUGUGUUGAAUCCAUCUAAAAAAACAUACAGAGAAAAAAAAGUUAAGGGCAGGGGAUCUGUUUUCUUAAUUUGAUUGUUUGUCUUGUAUUAUACUACCAGUAGAUACAAACAUUUCAUUGGCUGAAUUUUUUUUACAAUACUAAUUGAAUCUAUGUCAUAAUUUUUAAGAUACUACAUUUACUUAGGAUAAAGAGGGAGAUUACAAAAAAUAAAGAAAAAAUAAAGAAUAAACAUAAAAUUUAUUGAAAUAGUACAAGGAGGUAAGGGUUGGCUAUGGGGAAGGAAGGAGGCCAAUAUCUUAAGUACAUUUCAUGCUCAUAUAUGACCUGUAUGUGUGGUUUUGAGCACGUGAAUUGGUCAGGGAAAAUUGAAUUUAGUCAGGGAAAAGUCAGUGAAGUCAGCGAAUUUUGUUUUGCCAUCUUUGUGGGAUUUUUCCCUGCUAUUUCUGAAUCUUUGGAAUGUCUCAACAUAAUGUUCAUCACAAAAGUAAAGUUUUUGCGUGUUAUUGAAGUGUUUUAUGUGAUGUGGUGUGUGGUCAGUCGAGGGGAAAGGCCCGAAUAUGCACGGGGUUUAAUAGUAUCAGUCAUUUCUACGCUAGACUUAAGGGGUUAACUUAAUUUUAUUCAAAUUUGAGUCGAUUGAUGUUUGGCACAAAGAUGUUUUAUGCAUUAAUGUUAUUAUCAUAUUCUGAAAAUUGUUAAGUUCAUUUGGAACGUUUAUAGUAACAUGUAAACCGUUAGUUUAAAUAGAAAAAAGAAAGGUCACGAAAUUGAAAUGUUUCAAAAGGUAUUGAUGAAUAAUGAAUUAAAUACAGAUACAUUUUGAUGUCAUAGAAAAUAUGAAUGAAUUUUGAAGCAUUAUGGUAUUCUGAGGUACAGUUUUCCAGAGUUAUUUUACAAACAGUUGAAGUUUUGAUCUCUGGUUUUUACCCUGUCUUGGAAUAUCAUAAUUUGUACAACGUUGUAUAAUUAGAACAUUGUACAUAGAUGUUGUAUGUUAACAAUUUUUGGUAAAUAUGUAUAUUUGUUAUUUGUUUAAAGUCUGUCCGAGAAACAUAAAUUGAUCGCAAGUCUUGCUCAAAGCAACAAGUGUUUGUGUUUAGUUGUGUUAAGACAUUACCAUAACAACAUAAGUAUUAUUACACAUGCUCUUAACUUUUAGAAGGUAAUUCUAAAAUGACUGUCUAUACUUUUGUAAUUUAAGUAGAUUUUUAAUGCUUAUACUUUGUAAUUUGAGUGGUUUUUAAAUUCCAUUAAUUGAGUAGAUUUUUUAAUGCCUAGCUAGUCCCAAUUUCUCGAAACUUCUCAAGCAUAACAGACUUAAGUAGCUUAAAAUAGUUAGCCAAAAUGCAUACGCAUACUUUAAUUGGAAUUUGAUGCAUGAAAAAUGGUUUAUUGUAAUUGACAAUUCAUAGUAUAACAGUACUCAAAAGAAGUAAAUAUAAUGCACAUUAUUGAAAAACAAAAAUAGUGAGCUUAGCUUAGUCCUGUUAUAAAAUAAAAUGAAAGUGUAUAUCCUUUAAUUAUAAGUUUAUUUAUACACACGCUGUUUUCUCAUUUAACCGCUGAAUGUAUAAUGAAGUUUCAAAAUGGGGGCGAUCAUGUUUGUAAUUAAAGUAUUUAUUUUAAUGCCUUUAUUUUUGUUAAGUAGUUUUUUAUCCACUAGUUGUGUUGCAUAUUGUAUUGCAUUUUAUUGUCAUUGCCAUGGUAACAUUGUUAAUAUCGAUGAAAGUAUUAUCAUGAUAUUACUAGAAAUUUGUAAUCACUUAGAUUAUGUUAUUUUGUGUAUGAUAUAAUUAUAUAAAUACAUG